Molecule: ribosomal RNA, 540 nt
Filed under: Debaryomyces hansenii
Lineage: Eukaryota; Fungi; Ascomycota; Pichiomycetes; Serinales; Debaryomycetaceae
Description: eukaryotic LSU rRNA
Rfam family: Eukaryotic large subunit ribosomal RNA
Source: RNAcentral
AAAGAAACCAACAGGGUAUUGCCUUAGUAACGGCGAGUGAAGCGGCAAAAGCUCAAAUUUGAAAUCUGGCACCUUCGGUGUCCGAGUUGUAAUUUGAAGAAGGUAACUUUGGAGUUGGCUCUUGUCUAUGUUCCUUGGAACAGGACGUCACAGAGGGUGAGAAUCCCGUGCGAUGAGAUGCCCAAUUCUAUGUAAAGUGCUUUCGAAGAGUCGAGUUGUUUGGGAAUGCAGCUCUAAGUGGGUGGUAAAUUCCAUCUAAAGCUAAAUAUUGGCGAGAGACCGAUAGCGAACAAGUACAGUGAUGGAAAGAUGAAAAGAACUUUGAAAAGAGAGUGAAAAAGUACGUGAAAUUGUUGAAAGGGAAGGGCUUGAGAUCAGACUUGGUAUUUUGCGAUCCUUUCCUUCUUGGUUGGGUUCCUCGCAGCUUACUGGGCCAGCAUCGGUUUGGAUGGUAGGAUAAUGACUAAGGAAUGUGGCUCUACUUCGGUGGAGUGUUAUAGCCUUGGUUGAUACUGCCUGUCUAGACCGAGGACUGCGUCU